This 136-nucleotide small nuclear RNA is filed under the name Ophiophagus hannah (king cobra). RNAcentral describes it as "U2 spliceosomal RNA". It matches the Rfam family "U2 spliceosomal RNA". From Rfam's summary of the family: U2 is a small nuclear RNA (snRNA) component of the spliceosome (involved in pre-mRNA splicing). Complementary binding between U2 snRNA (in an area lying towards the 5' end but 3' to hairpin I) and the branchpoint sequence (BPS) of the intron results the bulging out of an unpaired adenosine, on the BPS, which initiates a nucleophilic attack at the intronic 5' splice site, thus starting the first of two transesterification reactions that mediate splicing. Lineage: Eukaryota; Metazoa; Chordata; Lepidosauria; Squamata; Elapidae. The record is from Rfam by way of RNAcentral.
GUUGCUUCUUGGCCUUUUGGCUAAGAUCAAGUGUAGUACAUGGAAAGAUUCUCUUAAAUAUGGUAAUCACUUUUUUUCAGCUAUGAAAAAGUGUUUUGCUCCAUUUCCACAUUGAGAAUGGUUGAAUGAACCAUGC